This 311-nucleotide ribosomal RNA is filed under the name uncultured eukaryote. RNAcentral describes it as "partial 18S ribosomal RNA". It matches the Rfam family "Eukaryotic small subunit ribosomal RNA", at positions 1470 to 1796 of the family's 1831-position model. The record is from RNAcentral.
CCCCUAGACGUUCUGGGCUGCACGCGCGCUACAAUAAUACGCACAGCGGGUAUCACCGAGCUCGAAAGGGCAAGGUAAACAAUAGAAAAGGUACUGUAAUGGUUAUAGAUCCUUGUAAUUAUUGAUCUUCAACGAGGAAUUCCUAGUAAGUAUGUGUCAUCAUCACGCACUGAUUACGUCCCUGCCCUUUGUACACACCGCCCGUCGCUCCUACCGAUUGGGUGAGCCGAUGAAACUCUCGGAUGUAGGCUAUUCAUAGCCCGCAGAAGAGAUUUGAAUCGUAGCGCUUAGAGGAAGGAGAAGUCGUAACA